Molecule: ribosomal RNA, 550 nt
Filed under: uncultured bacterium
Lineage: Bacteria
Description: bacterial SSU rRNA
Rfam family: Bacterial small subunit ribosomal RNA
Source: RNAcentral
AGAGUUUGAUCCUGGCUCAGAUUGAACGCUGGCGGCAUGCCUAACACAUGCAAGUCGCACGCGAAAGGGGGCAACCCUGAGUAGAGUGGCGGACGGGUGAGUAACGCGUAGGAAUCUACCUCGUAGUGGGGGACAACCCGGUGAAAACCGGGCUAAUACCGCAUACGAUCCAUGGAUGAAAGCAGGGGACCGCAAGGCCUUGCGCUAUGAGAUGAGCCUGCGUCGGAUUAGCUAGUUGGUGAGGUAACGGCUCACCAAGGCGACGAUCCGUAGCUGGUUUGAGAGAACGACCAGCCACACCGGAACUGAGACACGGUCCGGACUCCUACGGGAGGCAGCAGUGGGGAAUAUUGGACAAUGGGGGCAACCCUGAUCCAGCAAUGCCGCGUGUGUGAAGAAGGCCUUCGGGUUGUAAAGCACUUUCGGUGGGGACAAACAAGGCGGAGCUAACAUCUCCGUCCCUGAUGGUACCCAAAGAAGAAGCACCGGCUAACUCUGUGCCAGCAGCCGCGGUAAUACAGAGGGUGCAAGCGUUAAUCGGAAUUACUGG